RNAcentral lists this ribosomal RNA (291 nucleotides) under uncultured bacterium. RNAcentral's name for it is "partial 16S ribosomal RNA". It matches the Rfam family "Bacterial small subunit ribosomal RNA", at positions 505 to 796 of the family's 1533-position model. The record is from RNAcentral.
GUGCCAGCCGCCGCGGUAAUACAGAGGUCUCAAGCGUUGUUCGGAUUUAUUGGGCGUAAAGGGUGCGUAGGCGGCGAUGUAAGUCAGGUGUGAAAUCUUGGGGCUUAACCCCAACAAGCAUUCGAUACUGCAUUGCUAGAGGACUGGAUGCGAGAUUGGAAUUCACGGUGUAGCAGUGAAAUGCGUAGAUAUCGUGAGGAAGGCCAGUGGCGAAAGCGAAUCUCUGGACAGUUCCUGACGCUGAGGCACGAAGGCUAGGGGAGCAAACGGGAUUAGAAACCCUUGUAGUCC